GUCCAGACUCCUACGGAGGCAGCAGUGAGGAAUAUUGGUCAAUGGCCGAGAGGCUGAACCAGCCAAGUCGCGUGAGGGAUGACGGCCCUACGGGUUGUAAACCUCUUUUGCCGGGGAGCAAAGAGCGGGACGCGUCCCGCCUCGAGAGUACCCGGAGAAAAAGCAUCGGCUAACUCCGUGCCAGCAGCCGCGGUAAUACGGAGGAUGCGAGCGUUAUCCGGAUUUAUUGGGUUUAAAGGGUGCGCAGGCGGAAGCGCAAGUCAGCGGUAAAAUUGAGAGGCUCAACCUCUUCGAGCCGUUGAAACUGGUUUUCUUGAGUGAGCGAGAAGUAUGCGGAAUGCGUGGUGUAGCGGUGAAAUGCAUAGAUAUAACGCAGAACUCCGAUUGCGAAGGCAGCAUACCGGCGCUCAACUGACGCUCAUGCACGAAAGUGUGGGUAUCGAACAGGAUUAGAUACCCGUGUAUCC
RNAcentral lists this ribosomal RNA (467 nucleotides) under uncultured bacterium. RNAcentral describes it as "bacterial SSU rRNA". It matches the Rfam family "Bacterial small subunit ribosomal RNA", at positions 329 to 795 of the family's 1533-position model. The record is from RNAcentral.